Molecule: small RNA, 417 nt
Filed under: Pan troglodytes (chimpanzee)
Lineage: Eukaryota; Metazoa; Chordata; Mammalia; Primates; Hominidae
Description: processed transcript
Source: RNAcentral
CUGCCCUCAUAGCAGAGGCUCUGAAAAAGAAAUUUGCUUAUCGGUAUCGAAGUGAUAGCCAAGAUGAAGUUGAAAAAGGAAUUCCAAAGUCUGAAUCAGAGGCCACCUCAGAGAGAGUGUUGUCCCUUCCAGCUGGCUUUAUUCAGCCCCACAUGUCCAAGCAUUGUCUGGGAUAGCCUUGUAUUGGAAAACCUGGCCCAUUCUGUAAAUAAAGGCUCCACUAGACUCUCAUUGCAGCAAAAGACCAUGUGGACCACAGACAACAUAGGUUCCAUUUAUCCAACAUAAGAAUCUCACCAGAAUUAAAGCAACCAGCAUCCACUACUUUUAAUCAGGAAAGUUAUAUAUGGCCUGAUGGCUGAAUUUUUUAAGUGUAUAUAAUUAUGGUAUCUGAAAUAUUAAUUAUGUACAAUAUGU